Non-coding RNA from Aedes albopictus (Asian tiger mosquito), 118 nucleotides. Lineage: Eukaryota; Metazoa; Arthropoda; Insecta; Diptera; Culicidae. The record is from Rfam.
UGCCCAGCAACUCCUAUCCCUACCUCCACGCGGUACCGGCCGGAAACUAUGAGCAACCUUAGGGAAGAUCGGGUAACCAACCCCGGUGAGACCUUUGGUCGUAGGCUAACAGGGAAGG